RNAcentral lists this ribosomal RNA (347 nucleotides) under uncultured Hydrogenophaga sp. RNAcentral describes it as "bacterial SSU rRNA". It matches the Rfam family "Bacterial small subunit ribosomal RNA", at positions 1033 to 1382 of the family's 1533-position model. The record is from RNAcentral. Lineage: Bacteria; Pseudomonadati; Pseudomonadota; Betaproteobacteria; Burkholderiales; Comamonadaceae.
CACAGGUGCUGCAUGGCUGUCGUCAGCUCGUGUCGUGAGAUGUUCGGGUUAAGUCCCGCAACGAGCGCAACCCUUGUCAUUAGUUGCUACAUUCAGUUGGGCACUCUAAUGAGACUGCCGGUGACAAACCGGAGGAAGUGGGGAUGACGUCAAGUCCUCAUGGCCCUUAUAGGUGGGGCUACACACGUCAUACAAUGGCCGGUACAAAGGGUCGCAAACCCGCGAGGGGGAGCCAAUCCAUCAAAGCCGGUCGUAGUCCGGAUCGCAGUCUGCAACUCGACUGCGUGAAGUCGGAAUCGCUAGUAAUCGUGGAUCAGCAUGUCACGGUGAAUACGUUCCCGGGUCUU